RNAcentral lists this small nuclear RNA (286 nucleotides) under Dasypus novemcinctus (nine-banded armadillo). RNAcentral describes it as "7SK RNA (ENSDNOG00000029439.1)". It matches the Rfam family "7SK RNA". Rfam says of the family: 7SK was discovered as an abundant small nuclear RNA in the mid-70s but a possible function has only recently been suggested. Two independent studies have found that 7SK RNA binds the CDK9/cyclin T complex (known as elongation factor P-TEFb). P-TEFb activates transcription by phosphorylating the C-terminal domain of RNA polymerase II. Lineage: Eukaryota; Metazoa; Chordata; Mammalia; Cingulata; Dasypodidae. The record is from RNAcentral.
GAAUAAGAGGGCCAUCUGGCCAGAGCAUCUGUUCCUAAACUGGUUGCCAGGAUUGUUUCCACUGAUCUGACUGGCUAAGUAGGUGUCCCUUUCCUCCUUAUGCCACCGCCUCCCAAAGUUGAUGUAUGGAAUGGAGUCUUGCUGAUCUUUGGUCAAAGUUAUCUGAGUCCUGAGACUUGCUUGCUGGAACCUCAAAACAAGUGCUCUCCUCACAAGGAGCAUCCACAGUAAUGCCUUUUCUGCCUACCUCUAAUCAUUGUUGUGAAAAUAAAAUCUAAUAAUAGAU